Molecule: ribosomal RNA, 253 nt
Filed under: uncultured bacterium
Lineage: Bacteria
Description: partial 16S ribosomal RNA
Rfam family: Bacterial small subunit ribosomal RNA
Source: RNAcentral
UACGGGGGGUGCAAACGUUGCUCGGAAUCAUUGGGCGUAAAGCGCGUGUAGGCGGUUCGGUAAGUCAGAUGUGAAAGCCCCCGGCUCAACCGGGGAAGUGCAUCUGAAACUGGCGAGCUAGAGUACGAAAGAGGGUCGCGGAAUUCCCGGUGUAGAGGUGAAAUUCGUAGAUAUCGGGAGGAACACCGGUGGCGAAGGCGGCGACCUGGGUCGAUACUGACGCUGAGGUGCGAAAGCGUGGGGAGCAAACAGG